Molecule: transfer-messenger RNA, 351 nt
Filed under: Dehalococcoidia
Lineage: Bacteria; Bacillati; Chloroflexota
Also listed under: 1 other name
Description: UBA6927 sp002717725 Standard tmRNA
Rfam family: transfer-messenger RNA
About the family: Bacterial tmRNA, also known as 10Sa RNA or SsrA, is named for its dual tRNA and mRNA-like properties.
Source: RNAcentral
GGGGACGCGUGGAUUCGACAUGGGGUGUGAUUNCANGAUUGCAGGUCGAGGUGCCGUCAACCCUCGUAAAUCUGGCGGUAAAAAAUUUAACUGGCGAAAAAAAGCUAGCACUGGCUGCCUAGAGCAGCCACGUUCCUCUUUUACGUUUCCCGUAGUAACUGAGAGAGCGACAUAAUUCGGGAUGCUCUUCUUUGAAGCCGUUUCAUNGANGAAAAGACUUNGGCUAAGCUUGAAAAGAUCUAAGGUCGGGUCAAGACUAUUCAAGUGAAAUACNAGCCCCGACUAUAUCUGUAGUAUAUUUUGCAAAAUCACCUUUUGGACGGGGAGUUCGACCCUCCCCCGUCUCCACCA